Molecule: ribosomal RNA, 253 nt
Filed under: uncultured bacterium
Lineage: Bacteria
Description: partial 16S ribosomal RNA
Rfam family: Bacterial small subunit ribosomal RNA
Source: RNAcentral
GACGAACCGUGCGAACGUUGUUCGGAAUCACUGGGCUUAAAGGGCGCGUAGGCGGGCUAUCAAGUCCGGGGUGAAAUCCUCCAGCUCAACUGGAGAACUGCCUCGGAUACUGAUGGUCUCGAGGAGGAUAGGGGCACACGGAACUGUGGGUGGAGCGGUGAAAUGCGUAGAUAUCAAGAGGAACACCUGAGGUGAAGACGGGUUGCUGGGCCGACACUGACGCUGAAGCGCGAAAGCCAGGGGAGCAAACGGG